Molecule: ribosomal RNA, 123 nt
Filed under: uncultured bacterium
Lineage: Bacteria
Description: partial 16S ribosomal RNA
Rfam family: Bacterial small subunit ribosomal RNA
Source: RNAcentral
CUCCUACGGGAGGCAGCAGUGGGGAAUAUUGCGCAAUGGGCGAAAGCCUGACGCAGCGACGCCGCGUGGGGGAUGAAGGCCUUCGGGUUGUAAACCUCUUUCGGCAGGGACGAAGUUGACGUG